This 159-nucleotide non-coding RNA is filed under the name Triticum aestivum (bread wheat). RNAcentral's name for it is "rRNA LSU_rRNA_eukarya". It matches the Rfam family "Bacterial large subunit ribosomal RNA", at positions 2473 to 2632 of the family's 2925-position model. The record is from Rfam by way of RNAcentral. RNAcentral also lists the same sequence under 1 other name. Lineage: Eukaryota; Viridiplantae; Streptophyta; Magnoliopsida; Poales; Poaceae.
GAUAACAGGCUGAUCUUCCCCAAUAGUCCGCAUCGACGGAAGGUUUGGCACCUCGAUGUUGGCUCUUCGCCACCUGGAGAUGUAGGUGGUUCCAAGGGUUGGGCUGUUUGCCCAUUAAUGCGGUACGUGAGCUGGGUUCAGAACGUCGUGAGACAAUUC